GACGAACGCUGGCGGCGUGCUUAACACAUGCAAGUCGAACGAUGAAGCGCCAGCUUGCUGGUGUGGAUUAUUGGCGAACGGGUGAGUAACACGUGAGUAACCUGCCCCCUACUCUGUGAUAAGCCUUGGAAACUGGGUCUAAUACUGGAUAUGACCUAUCACUGCAUGUGGUUUUGGUGGAAAGAUUUGUUGGUGGGGGAUGGACUCGCGGCCUAUCAGCUUGUUGGUGGGUUAAUGGCCUACCAAGUCGACGACGGGUAGCCGGCCUGCGAGGGUGACCGGCCACACUGGGACUGAGACACGGCAGAGACUCCGACGGGAGGCAGCAGUGCGGAAUCUUGCACAAUGGGCGAAAGCCUGAUGCAGCGACGCCGCGUGAGGGAUAACGCCCUUCGUGGUGUAAACCUCUUUCACCAGGGACGAAGCUAACGUGACGGUAACUGGAGAAGAAGCACCGGCUAACUACGUG
Molecule: ribosomal RNA, 469 nt
Filed under: uncultured bacterium
Lineage: Bacteria
Description: partial 16S ribosomal RNA
Rfam family: Bacterial small subunit ribosomal RNA
Source: RNAcentral